Long non-coding RNA from Pyrus x bretschneideri (Chinese white pear), 950 nucleotides. RefSeq lists it as uncharacterized. The record is from RefSeq and is a predicted model, not a curated record. Lineage: Eukaryota; Viridiplantae; Streptophyta; Magnoliopsida; Rosales; Rosaceae. The transcript has 2 exons.
AGACUCACUUUACCUUAUGAUCCAGGCCUCUAGAUGCAGACUUGUAGUUUUCUUCAUUUAUUGCAAAAGAUUUCAAGUUCGACAAAAUUAUUUAUAUACUUAAACUCGGUUCCUCUGUCUCUGUUUUUCACUAUUCUUGAAUAGUGAAAGGGCGGAAAUGCCCUUGAUUUCUUCUUUGUUUGCCUUGUUUCCUCUUUUCUACGAUGAAAAGCUUGUUUUGCCCAUUUCAUCCACGCUUCGAUCAUCGCUGUGCAUCGAUCACUUCUCAACUUUUUCCUUCCGUUUCCACUUUUCUUUUUCACAAUUCUCUGCUUCUCUCACUCUUGACCCUUGCUUUUUUUUUUUUUCACUCUCAAACGCCGCUUUCUCAAACGCCGCUUUCUCUGGCUCUUCAAUUGGAUCCGGAAAAAAAAAAAUUUACCUAGAAAAGCUAGCAUUUCCUGGUCUUUGAGAUACGAUAUUGUUCCAGGCUGUCAUCCAAAUUCCCUACCACAUUGUGCCACGGCGAUUUCAAAGAGGUCCUUGAUGAGAUGCUAUACUAAGCGAAUCCGGAUCCUUGUCGGAUCCUUUUUGUGUUGAUUUUGUGAAUCAUGAAUCGUGGUUGUUCAUCAGUACAUCGUGCUAUUAGAAAUUAUUUUAAAUAUUUUUAUUUUAAAUUAAACACAAAUAGUACCUAACAAAAACUGACUAUAUGAUGUACAAGAAACGAAUACGAUUUACAAAUUCUCAAAAUUCUUACCAAAAGGAUCCGGAGAAGAUCAUGUUGGAUACUGAGCAGCUACCAUCGUAAUGAGCUUAGGUAUUGAGAUUUUUCCUGAACUUCUUUUUUUCUUGGAACAUGAAACCAUAUGUAUUUGCUGAACGUUGGUGCAUGUAAAUAGUACAAUGUUUAAUAAUCUUUUAUUUAGAGUCUAAUGAAUGAUAAUAGUGGAUCAUAAUGUUGACAAUAA